This 204-nucleotide long non-coding RNA is filed under the name Panax ginseng (ginseng). Its description in RNAcentral is "long non-coding RNA (PGIN_LNC017008)". Lineage: Eukaryota; Viridiplantae; Streptophyta; Magnoliopsida; Apiales; Araliaceae. The record is from RNAcentral.
CGAAUGUUUGCAUCCGAGGUCUGCCGCCGCCAUAAAACUCUGUCCGGCCAAAACACUAGCAGCCCUGCUGGAAACUGCCAGCAUUUUCUCUCUCCUCUUCAUAAAUCUCAAAACCCAAUUUCCAUAUAUUCUAAACACAAAAAUAUCAUGAAAAAAUGACAUUAAUUUGAUAGUAAUAUAUAGGACAAGAUCCUCCUCAAAUCC